GGGUGAGCGGGGAGGCGGGGGCGAGCGGGGAGGGGGGGGGGGGCGUUUCGGUGCGGCGGCGGCGGCGGCUGCUGCGGGAGGUGCCCGGUGCGGCGGCGGCGGCGGGGAGCGGAGCCAGCCGCAAGCCCCGGGGUAUGCCCUCGCCCCUUCCCCCGCUGCCGCUGGAGCGGGGUGUGGGUAAGGAGGAGCGGAGGAGGGCUGGAAGGGAGCGGAGAGCGGCGGGGAGCGGGGCGAAGGAGCCCGGCCGAGAGGCGGAGGAUGCGCCGAGCCCCGCGGAGCCCAGCCCAGCAGCGACGCGGCGCUUCUCGCCCGGCCGCCGCCCGAGGAGCCCCCUGUGCCCGGGAGCCAUGAGCCGCCCUCAGCGCCCGCAGAGCCUCCGAAGCAGCCCCCCGGCCGCAGCCCCCCGGCGCUGCUAG
RNAcentral lists this long non-coding RNA (416 nucleotides) under Calidris pygmaea (Spoon-billed sandpiper). Its description in RNAcentral is "lncRNA (ENSCPGG00000001534.1)". The record is from RNAcentral. Lineage: Eukaryota; Metazoa; Chordata; Aves; Charadriiformes; Scolopacidae.